GCUUCAUAUCUCUUCCUCAUGCAUUAAACCUUAUGCUUUCUUUGUAUAAAUGAUUGCGCAUGCCUUUUACCAUACUGUUGCGAUUUGUUUUGGUUAUUUGUGAAUCUUAAGGUUUGUUUGUGUGCGUUUGAAUCGGUGGCCUAAGGAUAUUUUUUUUUGUUAUCGUUUUAAGUUGUUGGUUUAAGGUAAGUGUUGGAGGCACUUAAGAGUGUAGAAGUUCCGUUUAGGGAUUCAAAGAGAGGAUUGAAAAAGGGUUUAAGGUAUUCACGGUUAGGAGAAAGAAGAACUAAGGAAGGAGAUUUUAAAGAAAUGGUCCUCGUUAAGUGAAGAAGUCUUGGUUUUGAUCCAACUGUAGUUAAUAUAUUUCUUGAACUUUCUGUCUAACAAAUGACAAAUAUUUUUUUAAAGUGGAUUGGUGUUUAGUCUCCCCAUGCCUUGGGAGUACACGUACAGGGAGGAGAAAUGGGGGCUAUUGGGUUUCUUUAUGGCAAUUAGAUUUAUUAUUAUUAUUGAAAAUUAAGGCUAAUCAAUUCCAUUUGGGAGGGAUGCUGACGGGUACACAAGAGGAAUAUGUGUCGUUUCCCAUUCUUCCCCUUUGCUUUGGUUCAGAUCUUUUCCUCUUCUUUUUGGACCCGUGUUUUAUCCAUAGGCACCCUUUUGUUUUGUUGGCACAUGAUAAAGGUUCAAUUGGGCCGGGCUUCUGGCUCACUUUGGGUUUAAACAAGCACCCCUCAGUUUGCUUUCACACAUCCAGUCUGUUUGAACUUCAUUUAUUUUUGUUACAUUACUUUGAUAUUC
Long non-coding RNA from Lathyrus oleraceus (garden pea), 798 nucleotides. RefSeq lists it as uncharacterized. The record is from RefSeq and is a predicted model, not a curated record. NCBI's taxonomy places the organism in Eukaryota, Viridiplantae, Streptophyta, Magnoliopsida, Fabales, Fabaceae. The transcript is spliced from 2 exons.